Pseudomassariella vexata is the source of this 93-nucleotide transfer RNA. It matches the Rfam family "tRNA". Rfam says of the family: Transfer RNA (tRNA) molecules are approximately 80 nucleotides in length. Their secondary structure includes four short double-helical elements and three loops (D, anti-codon, and T loops). The record is from Rfam. NCBI's taxonomy places the organism in Eukaryota, Fungi, Ascomycota, Sordariomycetes, Amphisphaeriales, Pseudomassariaceae.
GUCGGAGUGCCUGAGUUGGUUAAAGGGUAUGACUCGAAUUUCUUCUGAUAUCAUAUAGGUUCGCCUGCGCAGGUUCGAAUCCUGUCUCCGACG